Molecule: long non-coding RNA, 2454 nt
Organism: Cyprinus carpio carpio
Lineage: Eukaryota; Metazoa; Chordata; Actinopteri; Cypriniformes; Cyprinidae
Source: Ensembl
CUUAACAAUAUUUUCGAAUAGCCACUGAAGAAACUGCUGUAUAACAAAAUAAAUGACAGAAAUCAUGUUGACUAUUCUUCUGAUCACGGCGAUGAUUGGCCAAGGUCAGUCAUGGGACAGCUAUGGAAAAAACUUCAUCACAGUAUUCCCAGAAAACAUAGCCUUCUACUACCCACGUACUCCAGUCAAUACUCUCAGUAUCACUGCUCUCUAUCCUGACACCAAAGUGGAAGUCUUCGUCUCAGAGGUAUCGACAUACUCGGACACACUGCCAGCAGGAAAGCCCGUAACUGUGACCCUGCCACUGGAUACUGAGGAAUACCGUCUCAGUUCUACUUCUCAGACUGUCAGAGUCAGCAGCACGGAGCUCAUCGUGGUGCAAUCAAUCAGCAAGAAAGGAGACAGUGUGCAAACUAAUGUUGUUCAGCCUUUGAAAAAUCACGGUACGUUGUAUACCAUCCCCUCACUGAAUUACAGCCUGAUGCUUAAUACUUUUGAUCAGUCAGCAAGAAACAUCAGCAAGAGAUACAGCUCUUUCAGGCUGGUUAUUAUCAAUGGAGAAACUUUGAUUCAAGAUGUCACAAUUGUAAAACUGGCUAGAAAUGAGACCUACACGCUCAAUCCCUACACCGCUCUCCAGCUCCAAACUGAUGGGACAGAAACCGCGGUUUAUUCUGAUGAUAGAGUGGCUGUGAUGCUGACCCAUCCUUGUGUAGUAACGGAAGAAUGCAGAUGCAACAUGGUGCUGAACCAACUUUAUCCCGACAGGCUGCAGGAUAGCAGAUUCAUCGUACCCUCAAUACUCAGCACCAGCAACUUUUGGCUACUUGUGACGUCCUCAGUGAAAACUGAAGUCAGUGGCGGGGAUCUAGAAUUGAGUACUGUGAAUGCCUAUUCCUCAAAACUCCUGGCCCUUCCAUCUCUGCAGUUUGAAUCCCAGUUGAUCGACACAUCUUCUCCUGCUUCCCUCAAGCUUGUUGGUCCAGGCAUCAUCGUUGAACCGAUCUCACAAUAUAUGUUCUCUGCGUGCUACCUAGCGCCUGUCAGCUCGACAGAUGCCAAGGCCUUAAUCAUAGCAGAGACAAACUACAGGGAUAGUGUGUAUAUGGAUGGUGAUUUGCUUUUAUCCACUACAUGGAGCACCAUCGCCAAUUCGGUGUACUCAUCGGUGUUAGUGCCUCUUGAUGACGCGCACAUCAUCUGGCAUCCAUCCACAAAGAUCGCCGUGUACGUGUUUGAGAAGAGCACACAUGUGUAUGGAGGCCCGGCUAUACCUUUAAGCGAAACGCCAGACCCUUUAGGCUGUGCAUUGGUUCCUUCUAAGUUUGACAUCAUCGUCACACCUCAAACCUGGCCUGAAUCCCAUCAGUACUGUAAGCUCAUAAGUGACGAGCUGUUCAGUCCCAGCAAUAAAGCGGCUCAUGCGGAGAUGGCCAGCAUCCUGAGGAAUGAGAGCACGAAUGAGAGGUUCUGGAUCGGCGUGCGUCGCAGUCUGCUGACGUUAGACUGGUACCGGCAGAAGGCUGACAUCUCACACAACUUGUCAUACACGCAGUGGGGAACCGGGGAGCCAGGUGUUGCUGCGAAUGGCAUGUGUGCUUCAGUAUUCCCAAACCCAAACAUGGAUUUCCAAUGGGAAACUACACACUGCUGUACUCUACUGAAGUCUAUCUGCUACACAAGGGCUCAGUACUUUUCUCUGUACUUUCCGAUCUCAGAUUAGGUCAAAUUAGACAGAUAGUAAUUCUAAUGUUCCAAAAAUAAUGUUUAAAAAUAAAAACUGGCCAAAGAAAACAACUCGCCAGAAUUUAGUUUAUAAUUUAUAGCUGUAUACAUCAUUAAAUUAUAUACUGUUAAUAAACAAACUUCAUUAACCUUCAUGUUGUGUUCCACCCAGAGAGUAUAUUCUUUUUCCCAAAAAUGCUUGUUAAUGUUGUCACAUUAAACUAAAACCUACUGAUUUUGCUCACACAGGAUAUAACUACUUCUCAAAAAAAAAAAAAAAAGUUUACAAAUGACUGACUUCAAGUUUGGUGAUAAAAUAGCUUACUGAGAGAUUUACAAGCAGUAUUUUAAAUGCUGGUGGGUUUUGACUGGUUUUCAGCACAAUGGUUUAAAAUCAAAAUAACAGUAGUCUAUGCUAGUAGAUUGGAAAGAGUAAAGAUGCUUAAUUAGGACGUGAAGUUGUUUAGCCAGAAAUACCUGUAGAAAGUUCAUAUUGCUAUUAUAACCAUGAAUGCUGUACAUAGCCUAGAUCUUAUUCACAAUGUCCACUUUGUUUAUCUAGAAACAGUACUUUAUUAUUGUUAUUAGCACUUUAUAUCUCACAAUAGAGAUAAAUACUUUCAAAAAAAGAAAGAUUUUAGGAUACAUUAAAACAUAUUUUUAAAACAAUCUGCAUAUCAUUGUCUAGGAAGAUUUUCCCCCCAAAAUAAAUCAACUUUCACCCUUUAG